This 14497-nucleotide long non-coding RNA is filed under the name Panax ginseng (ginseng). RNAcentral's name for it is "long non-coding RNA (PGIN_LNC001882)". The record is from RNAcentral. Lineage: Eukaryota; Viridiplantae; Streptophyta; Magnoliopsida; Apiales; Araliaceae.
AUUACCUUGGUGUCGGAAUAAUGUUGGUAUUUAUCAAAGAAAUAAAUCCCAACUGCAGCAGCUACUGCUGGUGCUGUCAUGUAAAGGGUGCCCAGAGCCAUUAAUCUCUUAGAGCAGAAGAAGCAGAGGUUUUUAUUCUUCCCUUUGUAGGCAAAGAGAAAAAUGUCUUGUUUGUAGCUCUUCUAUCUGCUGAAAAUCUUCAGAGAUAUAGGAAGGAAAAGGAGAUGAUCAGUAAAGCAAAGGAAUAUGAGAUAUCUUGGUGGUAAAGACAAGUAAAGAAUGGAGUAUAAAAAAUAAUAAGAGAAAAUGUGGAAGACCUGACCUCAUGUCAAAGGCACAAAUUAAUGGAAUUUUUGUGGGCCCUAGAAUUUUCCAUUAAAAACAUGCGACAAAAUUUGUGUGAUUCAGGAAACACAGAACCAAAUUAUUAUAUAUAUAUUUCCUCAAGUUCAUGGCUUAAUGCUUAAUGAUAUUCAUAUAUAUAUGAAGUUGGUUGGAAAAAAAUUAAUCUUAAGAUAUCUGAUUAAGUCAAUGCUUAAUGCAUGAUUUUUUCAUCAUGGCUGAACAUAUUAUUUGCAUGAGGAUUGUUAAAUCCACAACAAAAAAUGUUAUUUUUACAAUAAAAGUAUCGCUAUAGAUCCUAUAGUGACGGUUUUUACCGUCGCUAUACAUCUAUAACGACACUUUUAUUAUAGAAAUAAAAAAAAUAUUAUGAAUUUAACAAUUUCCUAUUUGCAUUCAUCAUAUAUUAGGGGAAUUCUGGUUUACACAUUUCACCGUAGUAUGUCAAGACUCACCCUCAACCUGAUGGUUAUCAUAUGUUGAGGCCAAAUGCCUUUGACUUGGGUUAACGUUUUCUAUAUAUCUAUGAUUAUUUGUUAUUAAUUUUUUUUAAAAUAAUAUAUAUAUAUAUAUAUAUAUAUAUAUAUAUAUAUAUCAAAUGAUUACUGUAUUAAUAUUUAAAAUUUGUGCAAAAUUUACUUUUAAAAGUAUUAUAAAAUACACUAAAUUACAAUCAUCAUCUCCAAAGUUUCAAGUCAUGAAACAUAAUGAUAUNNNNNNNNNNNNNNNNNNNNNNNNNNNNNNNNNNNNNNNNNNNNNNNNNNNNNNNNNNNNNNNNNNNNNNNNNNNNNNNNNNNNNNNNNNNNNNNNNNNNGUCCUGAUCCUGCACAAUAAACACGAUAAACACCACAAGCUUGACGGCUGUUCCGUCGGGGGAUAGCUCAGGCGUGAGAGUCAGUAUACGUGUUCACAAGGUUAACAAUGGAGGAUGUAAUAUCUAGUGUAUUGAGAGAGAUAAUAAUUCUCUGUUGUGUGUAUGUGAUUAUCAAUGUGAAUGUUAAUGUAUCUGUUUGUGAAGACCUCCUUGCUAAGUUAUACUCUCUUUGCCCGGAUUACCGUGCCACCCACUACUAUCUGACACGGCCCCCUGAUCUGAUGGAUUCUGCCAACUGCAUGUAGUCUACCUACUACUUUUGGUCACUGUUUCUACCGCCGGCCGGCUAUGAUCUCAUCCACAUUAAUGCAUGACAAGUCCAAGAUAGAGAUAUUAAAAUAUCUAAUGGGUCGAUCCACUAAUCAACCCGAUCUUAAAAGGAUCCAACAGAAAUAACAUAAUGACUAGGCCAAAUAACUUUAAGACUCAAUAGUAAGGACCCAAUGAACAAAUCAAAUAAGUAGGCCCAAUAUACUCGGCCCAGAGAGGGGAAAUAUCAUGACCCAACAUUGCCCCCUAGUUUUUUGUUGAACGGAAUGUUUAAUAGAAAACUAUAAAUGGUCCAUGAUAUUUUACUAAAAGUCCAUAGUGAGAAAUAAUCGAAAUGUACCCGGUUAUUGUUCAAGAGAUGAAAUGAGAGGAGAACGGAGGCCCAAAUCAGAAAGGCUCUGCCUAAUAAAUAUCUGGACCCGGAACCGGACGCUUCCCAUUCAAAUUCUAAAUCAUUACUAACAUUUAAUGUGCCGGCCUUGUACACCGUGUAACCGUCAGUAUAAAAGAUAACUUCACUAAAUUUGACAGUUUUACCUGCCCAUUUGAAAUUCGAGCGCCUUUUGAGUUUUCUUCGUCCCUGAACUAUCUGUCCUCCUUUGUGAACUGUCAAAAAUGGCUUCCCAAGAUUCUGAACAAAGUUCACCCCUUUUAGUAACACCGAUCAACGCUGUUUCACCAAACCCUAACACCCGCGAAGGAACCUCAACCUCGAACCCCAAAGGAAAGAAAACCGAUAAGAAUCCUCCUAUAAAAACCCCCCCAAAACUCCCUCUGAAUACUACAAGGAUACGGAUCGUUUCUCGCAUGCUAACAUUCCCUCUAUUGUCACUGAAGCUGAGUUAAAAAGGAUUUGAUCUCGGUACCACAUUCUGGAUACUCAUGCGGCUAGGGCUCCCAGAUCUGGUAAGAAAAUGUAUCAACGGCCAGAGGGUUGGACAGCCGUCCCUGUGACCCUGCUUGAGAAGGGGGUCCAUUUUCCUCUGCACGCCUUCAUAGUGACUAUACUGGGGUUCCUGAGCGUGGAGUUCGCCCAAUUGGUACCAAAUUCUUACAUUCACAUUUUGGCCUUUGUUGCCUUCUGCCAUGAGUUGGGCGUUGAGCCUUCUCUCGACUUCUUCUUCACCGUGUACAAGAUCGUCCAAUCCAGAGAGAAAGGGUUUAAAGCUCUCAACAAACACUCUCCGAAGUCGGGAGAAAAGUUCGAGAGACGUUCGUUGGUGAACACUCCUUCGAGCAAUAGGGGAUGGCACGAGAAGUGGUUCUUCGUCAAAGGUCCUGAAAUCUCUUCUUUAUCGAACUGGGCCACUGACGAGAAGAUCUCUGCUGACUUCGGAGAUAUCUCUGAAGAACGGGAAGUUGAGAUGAUGGAGCUUUUUGAUAACUUUCCCAAGGAGGAGUGGAAGUACGGACUCCUCUCGAAGCAGGCGUGGUUAUAUGACCAUAAAUGUAAGUAUUGGUCUAUUUGAUACAUAAAUUUUUGAAAAUGUUUUUAUGAUGUGGAAUCUAACAUAGGACUGUUUGUUUCGUGCAGUAUCUUUGAUCAGACCGAGCUUCUUAGAAAUAAAGGAGUUUGAAGAUUUUUUGUCGUGGAAGUCUUCGGAAGUUGUUGAGAGUCUACCAACAGAGGCUACCCCCGAAGCCGAGCCAACCCCUGAAAUACAUAUCGAUGAACCCCAAACAGAAGAACCAGAAGCUGAUAAGGUUCACGUAUCGGAAGAGACCCUUCGUCCUCGUCAGAAGAGGAGGGCCACUAGAAAACCCAGAUCAACACCUCUUCCCAGCUCUUCUGAAGCCAUCCCAGAAACUGAGCCAACCACCACAUCAAUCCCUCGACGAGUAGGCUUGCUCGAUCAUCCUGAUCGAAGAAGCAUCCUCCGGAUCAAAAAAUUAAAAACCAAGAUAACCCCCCUGACCGCCGAAGAACUCAGGGUGCCUCAGUCCUCACUCAUCCCACCUUUCGUGCCGCCUGUAGAAAUACAAAUUGUCGAAGAAGGUGAGCAGGACGAAACUGUUCCAACGCUGUCCAGGAAGAGGAAGCGUACACCUGACAGCUAUCCAAGUUCUGCCUCUGCCGCAUCUCCCCGAGAACCCAUUCCAAAUAAAUCGCCCUCUCCCGAGACUGUAUAUGCGGACCCCACCCCUCCUGAGCAGCCAAUCCCUUCUCCCGAAAGACCGAGACCUUCCCCCGAAUGACCCGGUCCUUCAGGUCAGGGUUAUCAUGCUGAGGCUAUGGGAUCCCCGACUCUGUGGCCUAGAUUCAAUGCAAAUUUCCCAUUCAAUCUUUUCGGAGCUUUCGUCCGGAAUGCUGAUGACCACCGGUUCAGUGACCAUACGGAUGGAAAUCUGCUUGACGAGGGGAUGAGCUAUCUGGCUAAGGUAAAUAACAGUUUCUUUAUUUUCUAUUUCUCUGUUCUUGUUUAGAUAUCUGAACACUGUUGAACAUAUACAGGCCAAUGCUGUCUUCGGAUGUUUGCGUCCGAGGCACAUAAAUGAGGAGGCCGAGGAAGAUUUCAUGAGACAGGAGAUCAACAUGCUGAGAUCGACCCUGGCUCGAGAAAGGGCCGAUCGCGAAGACGCUCUUCAUACCAUCGACGGCCUUCAAAGAGACUUAGAUCGGGCUAGGAUGGACUUGAAGACGUCUGACGACGAGCUAAGGGCCACAAGGGAUGGGCUGGCUGCGUCCGAAGCCGGUCAACAAGUUUUAACUGAUAUGAACGCAGGCCUGGUCGAAGAAAACCUACUCUUGAAGGCCAAAAAUGAGGAGUUUUCUUGAGCCAACCGAAGCUUGGCGAUUCAACUUGGCAAGGCUUAGGCGAAGGCCCAGGACGAAGAGCGAAGACAUAAGGCUUAGCGUCAUAAACUUCGUCACAAAAUAAAGGAGCUUGAGGGACGGGGUCCUCUUCUGACUGAAGAGCUGCGGAAGCAGAUUCAGGCGGACUACAGGGACUCGGACGAUCUUAAUGCCGAAAUCAUGAAGGUCUAUUCGGAGGGGUAUGAAGACUGCCGAGAGCGAGGUAAAGAAAAGCUAUCUGCCGCUCAGCUGGAUCCGGCCCUUCUUAACUCCGAGGACGAAGGUGGUGCCUGAAUNNNNNNNNNNNNNNNNNNNNNNNNNNNNNNNNNNNNNNNNNNNNNNNNNNNNNNNNNNNNNNNNNNNNNNNNNNNNNNNNNNNNNNNNNNNNNNNNNNNNNNNNNNNNNNNNNNNNNNNNNNNNNNNNNNNNNNNNNNNNNNNNNNNNNNNNNNNNNNNNNNNNNNNNNNNNNNNNNNNNNNNNNNNNNNNNNNNNNNNNNNNNNNNNNNNNNNNNNNNNNNNNNNNNNNNNNNNNNNNNNNNNNNNNNNNNNNNNNNNNNNNAUAAGGACCUUUGUCUACCACUCGGGGUAGAACAACAAAUGGGCUGCCAUCGAAUGGACAGCGAGUCCUACCAUACCUCCUUACACCAUCGUGACCUUAGGACAAAUAGGACCAGGAUCAAUAGUGACCAUUGACUUACCACCCUUGGUAAAAUUAAUAUAGGAUCAUAAGGACCUUUGUCUACCACUCAGGGUACAACAACAAAUGGGCUGCCAUCGAAUGGCCAGCGAGUCCUACCAUACCUCCUUAUACCAUCGUGACCUUAGGAUAAAUAGGACCAGGAUCAAUAGUGAAAAAGUGACUUUUUAUUGAUAAUGGACAAUCAUAUACAGACUUCUGAUAAAUUGACUUGAUCUCUAUUAAAAGUAUUUCCGAAGCCUGCCAGCAUGCCAAGUGUUCUUGAUCUCGGAACCAUCUAAUGCCUUUAACCGAUAGGUGCCCGGCUUUGAUACUUCGAUCACUUCAUACGGCCCUUCCCAGUUUGGCAUUAACUUUCCCGUGUUUUGAGGUGUAGAAGCUUCGACUUCUCUGAGGACGAAGUCUCCUACUUCGAAUCUGCGAAGUUUGACUCCUUUGUUGUAAUGUUUAGCUACUCUUCGUUGAUAAGCAGCCAAUUUGAGUAAAGCCACUUCUCUGACUUCUUCUAGUAGAUCCAAGUUGGCCUUUAGUCCUUCGUCAUUAUAGAUCUCUUUGAAUUGACUGGCCCGAAGACUUGGAGAUCCAAUUUCGACUGGGACCAAGGCAUCAGUACCGUAGGCCAGCCGAAAAGGUGAAUCCCCUGUGGUUGUCCUCGGCGUAGUCCGGUAAGCCCACAGCACGCUGAGCAGCUCUUCUGGCCAUCUUCCUUUAGCUUCAUCCAGUCUGCGCUUGAUCCCGUUCAGUAGCGUCCUGUUGGUCACCUCAACUUGCCCAUUUGACUGUGGGUGAGCCACCGAAGUCUUCUUAUGCUGAAUCCCCAGCUCCUUUAAAAAUCCUUCAAAUUUGGAUCCUACGAACUGACGUCCGUUGUCCGAUAUCACCACUCUAGGAAUUCCGAAGCGAAACACUACGGACUCUUUUAUGAAUUUCAAACACUCUUGUUCCGUUAUUAAUCGAAGUGGCUUCGCCUCUACCCAUUUGGUCAUGUAAUCAAUAGCAACCAUGACGAAGCUGACCUGACCUUUAGCUUUAGGCAACGGACCCAAUAUAUCUACCCCGCAGACAACGAAGGGUAUAGGAGAUAAAAUCGAAUAUAGCUCUUUCGGUGGCUGAUGUGGGAUCGGACUGUUGAGCUGGCAUUUUUCACAUCUCUUGACAUACUCUGUAGCUUCCUUGAAAAUUGUAGGCCAAUAGUAUCCUUGCCGAAGUACUUUAUAAGCCAAAAACUUGGCAGCCAUAUGAUCACCGUAAAUACCCUCGUGAACUUCCCGAAGAGCAUACUCCGCCUCGGAUGGGACCAGGCACUUCAGCAAUGGUGAGGAAAAGGCCAAUCGAUAAAGAUCCCCAUCAAUAAGAACAAAAUUGGCACUCUUGUACUUGAUCUUCUUUGCCAACAUCUGAUCCGAAUGAAGGACGCCAUAUGCCAAAUAUUUGAUGUAGGGAGUCAUCCAGCAGUUAGAUCGCUCGAUACACAUCACUGCUUCAUGCUGAACACUCGGCUGCUGCAAAACUUCCAAGUAAACCGAUCCAUUGAAAACAUCUGCAUCUGUAGUGGCCAGCUUCGAUAGUGCAUCAGCAAUGGAAUUGUCGCUACGCUCUAUGCCCUAAAACUCGUACAAAGCAAAAUACUAAAGUCGGUCUUUUAAUUCCGCCAGAUACUUGAUCAUCCGGGUCCCACGAGCUUCAUAAUCUCCCGACAGCUGUUUGACGACCAACUGAGAGUCACUGUAAAUGAUCAGCUUCUGGACUUCUAGACUCUUUGCCAAUCAAACACCUGCUAACACUGCUUCGUACUCGGCUUCGUUGUUCGUCGCUUUAAACCCGAAUCUGAUGGCCUGCUGAAUUUUGAACCCCUAAAGACUCGUCAAGAUAAUUCCUGCCCCACUAACAGUUACCGUAGAGGAUCCAUCUGCAUAUAACGUCCAAGCACUCUGACCCUGUUGAAGAACUGCAACUGCUCGGUCAGACGAUUCAACCUCUGAUAACUCGGCAUCUGCUUCGGUAAAUGAGCAUUCUACCAUAAAAUCGGCCAACGCCUGACCCUUGAUAGCGGUUCGGGGAUGGUAUUCGAUGAAAAAUUGGGACAGCUCCAUAGUCCAUGCUGCUAGUCUCCCUGAAACUUCUGGCUUGCCCAUCACCUUCUUCAAUGGUUGAUCCGUGUAGACGACCAGGAGUCUACCUUGAAAAUAUUAUCGAAGCUUUCUACUAGCAAUUAUUAAAGCAAAGACAAAUUUCUCAAUAUUCGGGUACCUGGUUUCAGCAUCUCGUAAGACGUGACUAACAUAAUAGAUCGGAUGUUCCUUCCCGCUGACCUCCCGCACCAGCACUGCUCCGACUGCCAUCGAACUUGCUGCAAGGUAUAGAUAUAAAGUCUCUGCUGGGGCAGGCUUCACCAAUAAAGGAGCAGAAGAAAGAUAUGUCUUUAUGCCUUGGAAGGCGUCUUCACAUUCCGAAGUUCACUGAAACGUCUUCGCAUUCUUCGGCCCUUUCAAUGUGUCAAAAAAAGGAAGGCAUAUCUCCGCAGAUUUGGCGACGAACCUCCUUAAAGUUGCAAUCCUAGCAGUCAGACGUUGGACGUCUUUGAACGACUGAGGAGUCUUCAUAUCAAGAAUGACCUGGAUCUUCUCUGGAUUGGCCUCGAUGCCCCUCUGACUGACCAGAUAACCCAAAAACUUUCCUGCACCGAGGCCGAAAGUGCAUUUGGCCGGAUUGAGUCUCAGUUGACGAUGACGGACAGUCUGAAAGCAUUCCUCUAGAUCGUCCAAAUGAUUCUGAACCUGCAUGCUCUUCACGAUCAUAUCGUCUACAUAUACCUCCAUGUUCCUCCCUAGCUGCCUGUCGAAGAUGAAGUUCAUCAUUCUCUGGUAGGUGGCUCCCGCGUUUAUAAGGCCAAAAGUCAUCUUCUUGUAGGCGUACACCGAACGGUGUGUAAUGAACGCUGUCUUUGGAAUGUCCUCCUUACACAUGGAUAUUUGAUGAUAAUCUGAAAAAGCAUCCAUAAAGCUUAGUAAUGCAUACCCCGAAGUGGCAUCGAUGAGCUGAUCGAUAUGGGGCAGAGGAUAAAAGUCCUUCGGACAAGCUUUAUUGAGAUCGGUGUAGUCGAUGCAAACCCGCCAUUUUCCAUUCUGCUUCUGCACCAACACCACAUUCUCCAUCUACUCGGGAUAAUCAAUUUCAUAGAUGAAGUCGGCAGCUAACAUCUUUGCAAUUUCCUCAUCAAUGAUCUUCUGUCGCUCGGGCGCAAAGAUCUGCCUUUUCUGCCGAACUGGCUUCUUCGAGGGAUUUACAUCCAGACUAUGCUCAGCUAUCUUCUGGCUAACUCCAGGCAUGUCCUGUGGUUCCCAUGCAAAGAUAUCCGCAUAGCAGCGUCAAAGUUCCAUAAGGUUUGUCCGAAGAGGCUCUGGUAGACUCGAACCGAUCUUCACAAUCUUGUCUGGCUUUCCGAUGAUCAACUCGAUCUCCUCCGUCCCACCUACAGGGAUCACCAACGGUUCUGAACUACUCUCGGUGAAAGGUUCGAUCUCAAUUGCCAUUGUUUGUUUCUGUUUACUGACCCCCACUCCGGACGAAAUAACAGCAUUCCGAUAACAUCGUUAGGCCAGAUCUAAGUCCCCCGCCACCUCUCCUACUCCAUGCGCCGUGGGGAAUUUGAUUUUGAAAUGAGGGAUGGAGGUCACAGCUUGGAGAGCCGUCAAAGUAGGUCUUCCCAGUAUGGCAUUGUAAGCCGAAUCUACAUGCACAACAUAAAAUUUACACGUUAUUUCUCCCUGCUGAGGUGCUGUGCCGAAGAUAACUGGGAGUUCAAUAGUGCCUACAACUUUGACUGGAUCGUUGCUGAAACCGUAUAAAGGAGCCUCCUGCCCGACCUCCAUUUUUUGCCCGUCAAGAUGCAUCCUCUGAUAGGCAUGGGCAUACAGAAUAUCCACCGAAGACCCGUUGUCUAUCAUCAUGCGUUUCACAUCCACCGAGCCCACUUGUGUUGUGAUCACCAAGGCCCCCUCGUGUGGCUCGAUGGGCUCCGAAGGAUAAUCUGCGUCCGUAAACGAUAUGACGGUCCCUGGGAAUGGUCUGUCAAUCUUCAGGGGAGCAUCUGUCACAGACAUGACCGAAUCCAAGUAAGCCCUUCUCUUCUUCCCUAUCAACUUCCCUAUAUAUCCACCGGUUAUUAUAUCGAUGACAUGCCUUGGCGGCGGUACUGGAGCAUUUUGGAUGGAUAGAGCCAUUUGAACUAUCUGAACAGUACAGUUGAUAUUCUGCUGAUCACGUUGGUCGUUCACGGCCACAUACUGCACCAAAAAACCAUUUUUAAUCUUCUUCUCCAUGAAAUCUUUUAAAUUGCAACACUCAUUAGUGUCAUGGCCCGCGACUUGAUGAUAUCCACAAUACUUACGAGAGUUACCCUGUCCUGUCCUAUAAUUAUCACGAGGUGGCUCGAAAAAAGGCUGGUUUCUGAUCUGAUCCAAAAUCACCGACCUAUCUGUGUUCAGUUUGGUGUAGACCUUAUUUACCUUCGGGGCGGGAACAGGUGGAUGACUACUUCCUUGCCGCCAUGAGUUAUUGUACUUCUUCGAACUGCCCUCUAGCUGAUCAUUAUACCCCCCUGUUCUCCUCUGAUCAACUUCGGCCUUGGGAACUUCUAUCUGCUUUAAAUGGUCCGAAGAAGGAUGCUUCAGGCUGUUCAUGGCCUCUUCUACAACAAUAUAAUCUUCUGCCUUGUCAAAGGCUUCUGCCAGGCUCUUCGGAUAGUGGAACAUUAAUUUUUUCCCCAACUUCCCGGACUUCACCAGAUCUAGCCCGUUCUGGAACAAACCUACAGCCUGGAGAUCAUUAAGGUCGGACACCUGACCAACUGCUUCUCUGAACCUCUUUACAUACUGGCCUAAAGAUUCGCUAGUGAACUGUCGGAUCUGUGCUAGAGAACCCGUAGGCUUUUCCCUUCUUCGGUUGCUCCCAAAACGUGCAUGAAACUUAUCACAAAGCUCGGUCCAAGAGGAUAUCUAAUCGGAUGGUAAAGUCCCCAUCCACUGUCUCGCAUCUUUUUUCAACGUCGUGACAAAAGUGUGGCACUUGGCGGCAUUAGUGAAGUCAUAAUAGUCCAUCAGCCGAUCGAAUGCCUGACUAUGGUCAUAGGUAUCUCCGGACCCAUCGUAACUCUCCAUACGAGGCAACUUUUUGUGAUAUCUGCCUUCUCCUUGAGAAUAUCUGAGGAAAAAGGGGACGCCUUCUUUCCCGGAGUGUCCUUCACUUGUUGGACCUCAGCCAGCUGCUUUCGGAGUUCUUUUAACUCCUUUACCAGAAAAUCAACACCUUCGGGCUGCGAGGAAACCUCUUUUUCAUGAACGACAUUCUGUCUCUGAGUGGAUUGACCUCCUCCUGUCGGUCCCAUUGCCCUUGUGGGGCUUCUUGAUCUACUCCGGCGCGCACUUCUGUCCUCAUGAUGAGAAUGGUCACGCUGAUACUCCCUUGUUCUGGUUUCUGGCACGAUCUCCCUCGACCUGCUUCUUCGUCUGUUGUCGUCUCGAUGCUGAGAACCAACGACCAUCAGUGCCUUCUUCGGGGCCACGGGAGUUCUGUUCCUCGAUCUUCUCCUACAGUGAGAACGAUCCCUAAACAUAUGCGCAGAAUACUCCGGCUCCUUGCCCUCUCGCCGUGAUAUCUCCUUAUGCCUACUCCGCCUUUCGGACUGAACAUGGCUAGAUGCUUCGUCCCUUAAUUCCGCCACGCGAAGCAUCUGUUCGGCUAUAUCUUCUCUCUGUUUCAACAGAACCUCCAAGGCUUUAUCUGCUUCGUCUGCCAUCCUCGCCAACUUGGCAGCUCUGUCCUCCUGAUCACUUCGACGAUGAGUCUUGGUCGGUGAGCCUUCUGCCCGCCCUCGACCAUGAUCACGCUCCUUAUCCGCAUUGAAAACCAACUUACGUCUGGCCCCACCAUGGAUCUUCGGACGGAGAUCUCCUGAAUUAUACUUAGAAGCCGUGCUCUCGUGAGCGCUUUUAGAAGGACCCAGGCGAUCCUUUACCGAAACACGAGGCAGUGACGAGCUAACAGCCAUCGCCUGCCCUUCUGGCGUACCAUCUCUACUCCUCAUCAUCUUCCGAAGUAGGUUAAACAAUUGUGAUUGAAAAUUUCAAUGACACUAGAACUAAACCCCUCCUUCUAGCGCCAAUGUUAACGCUAAGAUCUUCUGCCACGUCCCAAUCACGUAAGACGCCCUGAUCCUGCACAGUAAACACGAUAAACACCACAAGCUUGACGGCUGUUCCGUCGGGGGAUAGCUCAGGCGUAAGAGUCAGUAUACGUGUUCACAAGGUUAACAAUGGAGGAUGUAAUGUCUAGUGUAUUGAGAGAGAUAAUAAUUCUCCGUUGUGUGUAUGUGAUUAUCAAUGUGAAUGUUAACGUACCUGUUUGUGAAGACCUCCUUACUAAGUUAUACUCUCUUUGCCCGGAUUACCGUGCCACCCAUUACUAUCUGACACGGCCCCCUGAUCUGAUGGAUUCUGCCGACUGCAUGUAGUCUACCUACUACUUUUGGUCACUGUUUCUUCCGCCGGCCGGCUAUGAUCCCAUCCACAUUAAUGCAUGACAGGUGUUUUAGUCAACCGUCAUCCUUUUCCAUCAUUACAAGUCAAAGAUAGAGAUAUUAAAAUAUCUAAUGGGUCGAUCCACUGAUCAACCCGAUCUUAAAAGGAUCCAACAGAAAUAAUAUAAUGACUAGGCCAAAUAACUUUAAGACUCAAUAGUAAGGACCCAAUGAACAAAUCAAAUAAGUAGGCCCAAUAUACUCGGCCCAGAGAGGAGAAAUAUCAUGACCCAAUAUAUAUCAUAUCAAAUGAUUACUAUAUUAAUAUUUAAAAUUUGUGCAAAAUUUAUUUUUAAAAGUAUUAUAAAAUACACUAAAUUACAAUCAUCAUCUCCAAAGUUUCAAGUCAUGAAACAUAAUGAUAUAAAUAGAACAAAAUAUAUAUUUAUAGAAAAGUCAAAAUAAAACCUCAUGCCUGAAAUUAAAAAUUCUACUCAUUUUAAUUAAUUGUUACAACUUGCAUUUUCUUAUGUUCAGAUAACUAUUUUUAAAAUUAGUAGUUUAUGUCAUUUUUGAAAAAUAUAGGCCAAAAUACACAAUGAACCUUUUGUUCGAGAGUAUAUACCGAGUUACCAACAACACUAUUGAUUUUUUUAAGACUCGAGUAAUCGCAUAUAAAAUUGUUUGGAUGCAAUUUGAUAAUUUUAAAAUUACACUUGACACCAUUUGUGAUUGGUGUAAUGCGAUUUUAAAAUUUGUGUUGUAGUUAGUUCGGUUUUGGUUUCAAAAUUAAUUAACAUAGUCAAAAAUAAUAUUAAAUACAUCAAAUUAUCUUUGUCUAAGAAAAAAAAUUCCAAAUAUUACUAUGUAAUUUCAUGGAGAAUGGGACAGUAAAAAUAAUUUAAAUACUAAACCAUUUUACAAAUAAUAGAAAAAAAUAAAUGAGAGAAGAAGUUUUAUGAAUAAUAAAUUGAGAUAUAAAAUUAAGAUAUCAUACUAAACGGUAAAACAAUGAGAAAUGUCAAAUAUAUCAUUGGCAAGUGAGAAGCAAUGAGGUCAAUCUCUUUUAAAUAUACAAUAUGAAUUCUGAUACAGCAAUGUAGUUGGACUCUCGUGUACUCAAUUAAUCAUUUUUCCUGGGAGGUCAAUCUUUGCUGUUAGGCAAGAGGAUAGAAAGAUCCACUUUCCACUUAACUGAACUAAGAGCAAUUUCUUAUUAGAAAAGAUAAAAAGACUGUAAAAAAAUAUUUUUAACCCCAAUAUAUCUUUUUUGAAUGAAAGAUUAUAUAUGCCGAAUUUGAAUUGAUCUCGAUUAAUCCUUCAUUAUUGAUCAACAGAAAAGUAACAAGUAGGGAUGACACCCACCCAUCACAACAUAACCACACCAAUACAAAGAUAAAAAAUUAUGAUUCAAAAUGUAUACAUCACACAUUUCAAAUAUUAUUAUUAUUUUAAAAUUAUUAUUAUUAUUAUUAUUAUUAAUUUUGAAAUUAUUAAAAUUCAAUCAAAAAUUCAAUAAAACGUGUCAUUAGUUUUGUCGUAUAUAUAUAAGUGGUGCGGUGCAAGAGCCUCGUAAAAUGGCACCCACACGCAUACGUGGAAACUCUUAAAAUACGCCCCCACAUAUGUCAAAACUGUUAAUGCGGCUAAUCAGUACCGUUUACUAAUUUUUAGUGCUAUUUUGGGGCCCAUUUUGAGUCCUGCUCAGCCCAAGUAGCCGCACACGAUUUGAAGGGCUAUAAUAACCCGCUGAGAACCUUUGGCCUCUUAUGCAUACACUAGCAUCCGAUGGCUCAGACGCACAGUAGACAAAUAAUUUAUUUAUAAAAUUUAAAGGGUUAAAUUAAAAAAUAAAACAAAAUAAUAUAAUAUAAGAAAGAAAAUAAAAAUUAUCAUCCAAAUUAAAGGACAUUUUUGAAAGCCAAAAAGACUACAUAAAUUGAACUAACAAACCAGUAUAUAGGAGUAUUAGAUUACUUGAACAACUAACACAACAUUUAUACACAAUUUGCAUAAAUAAUCAACGUACCGCCGCUGAUCAUUUAAAUUUGAGGGGGUUUGUGUCGCGUAGGGCAGCAAGUCAACCACCUAUGCGACCUACCGAGUUAAAUUCGUGGAACAUAUUCAAUUGAAAAAUGCCCUUUUGAUCUUUGAUUACUUGUUAAUUCUAUUUUUAAUUGUUUUUGAUAUGUUAAGUUUGUGAUUUUUGUUAAUUCGUAAAAGAAUCUUGUGAGACUACGUAUUUUCCACGUCAAAGGAAAGAAGUUUCAAACUUUAUGAAAGAAAGAAAGAAUCUGAUUAAAAAUAAAAAAUUAAAUAGAAUGGUAAAAUAUGGUAUUGAUUAAUACACAGAUGUAUAUGGAAUAAAAAUUAAAAAAAAUCGAAGAGUGAUGGAUGUUUGAUCCAUAAUCAAGAAAGAAUUAUGGUCUCAAAACAGAAAACUCCAUCCAAUUCCGGUGCGAAUCUUGGAUUUCCCCUCCUCUGCUGUCGUUGAGGUUCUUGAUUUUCCGGCUCCUUCUUGACUCUCGUCGUCGUCGUCGGAGGGGCUUGUUUAGUUAGUACCGGCGGCGGAUUACCCCAAGAAAAUCCGACUUUCUGACCAAAGGAUUCGGCAGAAAGAACAUCAAAUGAACUGAAAAUUGACAUCAUCAUCGUGUCCUGCUACCUUAAUUCUUUCUUCCUUAGCUCUUGCUAGCUACUUUUCUUUUCCUUCACUCUCUUUGCAAAAGUAAACGUUUGAUGAUAUUAUGAAAACUUUUAACUUGUCAACUGUGUCUGUAAUCGUAGAUGGAUGGCUACAAUAAUAUAACAGAGGAAGUGGAGUUUAUAUAGGAAAGGAAAAGGAAAAGGAAAAGGAAAAGGAAAAGGAUGACUUGACUUCUUUAUUUUGUUGUUUGGAUCGGACCGGACUGGACCGGACCAGGCAAUUAGCGUGGAAGUUGGAAUUUUGGUCAGAUUAAGGAGAAACAUAAAGCGUGUCGGUCGGUCCACUAAUCCUUCUGG